Molecule: ribosomal RNA, 1370 nt
Filed under: uncultured bacterium
Lineage: Bacteria
Description: bacterial SSU rRNA
Rfam family: Bacterial small subunit ribosomal RNA
Source: RNAcentral
GAUGAACGCUGGCGGCGUGCCUAAUACAUGCAAGUCGAGCGAACGGACGAGAAGCUUGCUUCUCUGAUGUUAGCGGCGGACGGGUGAGUAACACGUGGAUAACCUACCUAUAAGACUGGGAUAACUUCGGGAAACCGGAGCUAAUACCGGAUAAUAUUUUGAACCGCAUGGUUCAAAAGUGAAAGACGGUCUUGCUGUCACUUAUAGAUGGAUCCGCGCUGCAUUAGCUAGUUGGUAAGGUAACGGCUUACCAAGGCAACGAUGCAUAGCCGACCUGAGAGGGUGAUCGGCCACACUGGAACUGAGACACGGUCCAGACUCCUACGGGAGGCAGCAGUAGGGAAUCUUCCGCAAUGGGCGAAAGCCUGACGGAGCAACGCCGCGUGAGUGAUGAAGGUCUUCGGAUCGUAAAACUCUGUUAUUAGGGAAGAACAUAUGUGUAAGUAACUGUGCACAUCUUGACGGUACCUAAUCAGAAAGCCACGGCUAACUACGUGCCAGCAGCCGCGGUAAUACGUAGGUGGCAAGCGUUAUCCGGAAUUAUUGGGCGUAAAGCGCGCGUAGCGGUUUUUUAGUCUGAUGUGAAAGCCCACGGCUCAACCGUGGAGGGUCAUUGGAAACUGGAAAACUUGAGUGCAGAAGAGGAAAGUGGAAUUCCAUGUGUAGCGGUGAAAUGCGCAGAGAUAUGGAGGAACACCAGUGGCGAAGGCGACUUUCUGGUCUGUAACUGACGCUGAUGUGCGAAAGCGUGGGGAUCAAACAGGAUUAGAUACCCUGGUAGUCCACGCCGUAAACGAUGAGUGCUAAGUGUUAGGGGGUUUCCGCCCCUUAGUGCUGCAGCUAACGCAUUAAGCACUCCGCCUGGGGAGUACGACCGCAAGGUUGAAACUCAAAGGAAUUGACGGGGACCCGCACAAGCGGUGGAGCAUGUGGUUUAAUUCGAAGCAACGCGAAGAACCUUACCAAAUCUUGACAUCCUUUGACAACUCUAGAGAUAGAGCCUUCCCCUUCGGGGGACAAAGUGACAGGUGGUGCAUGGUUGUCGUCAGCUCGUGUCGUGAGAUGUUGGGUUAAGUCCCGCAACGAGCGCAACCCUUAAGCUUAGUUGCCAUCAUUAAGUUGGGCACUCUAAGUUGACUGCCGGUGACAAACCGGAGGAAGGUGGGGAUGACGUCAAAUCAUCAUGCCCCUUAUGAUUUGGGCUACACACGUGCUACAAUGGACAAUACAAAGGGCAGCGAAACCGCGAGGUCAAGCAAAUCCCAUAAAGUUGUUCUCAGUUCGGAUUGUAGUCUGCAACUCGACUACACGAAGCUGGAAUCGCUAGUAAUCGUAGAUCAGCAUGCUACGGUGAAUACGUUCCCGGGUCU